ACAGAAAAGGCCCUACUUGACAGCUCGUUCGAAGGGGACCAAAGUUGAUCCAUCGAAAAAAUGUUGUCUUGUCAAAUUUUUUUUUGCAUUAAAAUGAAAAAAAGUGAUCAGAAAUGGUUUUUGAUCGUGUUUUUUAACGUUGUCGAUAAAAAUUGACAUAGGGCUUUAGCACCCAAUUAAAAAAAAUUAAAAUAUAAAUAUAUGGAGCCUAACAUUUCAAAAGGGCAAUAUUAUUAUAGUUUACAUAAGGUGUGAAAGGGACACACUCUUGUCUAAAAAAGUUAUGUGCCCUAAUGAAAUGGCAAGCACGAUAUAUAAAUUUCUGAAUUAUUUCAUUUUCCAUACGUAAUGUGUGAAUGGCCCCGCGCGCAGAAACGUCAAAACAAACGCGAUGCGCGAUGUGCAAGUAAAAAGAAAAGCGCUUGCAAGUAAAAGGGUUGCGCUUGGUCGAAGGAGCUACACAAUUUUGAAAACUUGCCCAAAAUUAAACCUGGGUCAUCAUUUGACGAAAGCGAUGCUGCUAUUUCAAACUGAGGAAAAGAUUACUUUUGCAGACCAAAUCGAUUUUAAUUGGUUUGAUUCAACUUCAGUGCAUAACGGAUUAGGGCAAUAGAUCGAUCGAAUUGAACUUCCAUUCGGCCAAAACCACGAUCCAGACCUUUCUGAAAUGAUCAAGCCAACUUUAACAGGGAACCUGGAAACAGAAUCGCGUGGAUUUCUUCGGAGAAAGUGGAGCAUUUCGCAGCAUGUUUUUGUUUGUUGAACUCAAGAACAACAAGAUCAUAAGCAUAAGCAUAGGUGCCCACCCGCAGUUACUACUCCGUUAUUGACCAGGACCUCCAGAAGUUUCAUCCACGAGCCGUGGAAGAUAAGUGGGAGCUAUCUUUCCUCGCUUCGCAACUUCUCAAAGGCCCCUAUCAUGCUGAUCAAUACCGGCGCCGGCCACGACCAGUGGUAGGGUCACGGGGAAGUGGAUGGGAAUGUUAGUCCGAUACUUGAGUGAUAGAGACCGCCCAAUCGACUGCAUCUCCGACAAAGUAUCACAUGAGUUUUGAGGGGGUUA
This is a long non-coding RNA of Culex pipiens pallens (northern house mosquito), 1063 nucleotides long. RefSeq lists it as uncharacterized. Lineage: Eukaryota; Metazoa; Arthropoda; Insecta; Diptera; Culicidae. The record is from RefSeq and is a predicted model, not a curated record. The transcript is spliced from 4 exons.